This 535-nucleotide small RNA is filed under the name Pongo abelii (Sumatran orangutan). Its description in RNAcentral is "processed transcript". Lineage: Eukaryota; Metazoa; Chordata; Mammalia; Primates; Hominidae. The record is from RNAcentral.
AGCUGCGCCCCCGGCCCGCACACACCCCGGCUCAUCUUCUCCCGGUCCUUGUCUCGCGCCUUCUCCACCCCUGGAAGUUGCCCCAGGGCUCCUCCCGGGAGGAGAGGGCGCUGUGACGGGCCAGAUGUUGGGGGUCUUUUGUGCAGACACACGCGCCUGGGGCGCUUGCUCCUGGAAGGACAGCGGCAGGACAAAGCCAGCUGGACUCGUGGGGGCGCUGCUCGGGAAGCGGCGGUCCCCAAUCCCGCCUGGAGUCGGGGCAUGGCUUGGGGAGCGCUGCCUGGGUCUGGAGAGAGUAGAGAAAUCGCCAAAGCAGAGUGACGGUGGCUUGCUGAAGAAAGCUCAGUCUCAAUUGUGUUUCCUGCCUGUCAGCCUCUUGCCUCCUAAACGUGUACCAUUUCCACUUGAUGUCAUCACGCAGAAGGGGUGAAAGAGACUCGGUGACAGAUACAGAUCUCAUAUCUGAAUCCCUGAUUCCGUUGGCCUUUGCUGCCUCCAACAUCUUGCAGACCAUGGCAUAUCCCUGGGGAUGGCC